CAGCAGCCACGGGAAUACGAAGGGGGCUAGCGUUGUUCGGAAUUACUGGGCGUAAAGCGCACGUAGGCGGAUAUUUAAGUCAGGGGUGAAAUCCCGCAGCUCAGCUGCGGAACUGCCUUUGAUACUGGGUAUCUUGAGUAUGGAAGAGGUUAGUGGAAUUGCGAGUGUAGAGGUGAAAUUCGUAGAUAUUCGCAGGAACACCAGUGGCGAAGGCGGCUAACUGGUCCAUAACUGACGCUGAGGUGCGAAAGCGUGGGGAGCAAACAGGAUUAGAUACCCGCGUAGUCCCUGUCUCUUAUAC
Molecule: ribosomal RNA, 301 nt
Filed under: uncultured bacterium
Lineage: Bacteria
Description: partial 16S ribosomal RNA
Rfam family: Bacterial small subunit ribosomal RNA
Source: RNAcentral